Molecule: non-coding RNA, 371 nt
Organism: Pelobates cultripes (western spadefoot toad)
Lineage: Eukaryota; Metazoa; Chordata; Amphibia; Anura; Pelobatidae
Source: the annotation of a GenBank genome assembly
CUCUAACCGGUUUGCCAGCUCAGAGCACAUGCGCUCUGAACCAGCAAGAGGACGAAAGAUGGGAAUUAAUAGAAAAAAAACAAAUACAUAUGAGUACAAAGGACAUGGGGAGGGCUGAGUUCAAUGAAAGAGGGGGACAAAUGCCUGGCUCUGCAAAAGAGAAGCUCAAUGCGUCUGUCACCAGCAUGCAGUGCGCGCUGAUGACAGACAUAUUUUUGCACAGAAUUGAUGUGUUGUGUGAUUGGGGGUGCAUAUAGCCCCUGGCAGAUUACCUUUGAUGUGCAGUGUUUCAAGCAGAAAAGUGGCACAUACAGAUUCCUAUCACCAUGACCAUUUCAGAUUAUGAAAUGGUCUUGGAGGUUGAAGUAACU